UUAAAUGGCCGCAGUAUUUUGACUGUGCUAAGGUAGCAUAAUCAAUAGUUUUUUAAUUGAAAGCUGGAAUGAAGGGUUGGAUGAAAAAUUAACUGUCUCUUUAUAAAUUUUUUAGAAAUUUAUUUUUAAGUAAAAAAGCUUAAAUAUUUUUAAAAGACGAGAAGACCCUAUAGAGUUUUAUAUAAGAAUUAAAUUAAAAUUUUUAGUAAUUAAAUAUUUUAAUUUAAAUUAGUAUUUAAUUGGGGUGAUUAAAAAAUUAAAUAAACUUUUUUUAUAAAAAUAUAUAAAUAAAUAAAUAGUUGAUCCAAUAUUUUUGAUUAUAAGAAUAAGUUACCUUAGGGAUAACAGCGUAAUUUUAUUAAAGAGUU
This 368-nucleotide ribosomal RNA is filed under the name Nisotra sp. BMNH 846636. RNAcentral describes it as "partial 16S ribosomal RNA". Lineage: Eukaryota; Metazoa; Arthropoda; Insecta; Coleoptera; Chrysomelidae. The record is from RNAcentral.